This 468-nucleotide ribosomal RNA is filed under the name uncultured bacterium. RNAcentral describes it as "partial 16S ribosomal RNA". It matches the Rfam family "Bacterial small subunit ribosomal RNA", at positions 28 to 507 of the family's 1533-position model. The record is from RNAcentral.
GACGAACGCUGGCGGCGUGCUUAACACAUGCAAGUCGAACGGAAAGGCCCUGCUUUUGUGGGGUGCUCGAGUGGCGAACGGGUGAGUAACACGUGAGUAACCUGCCCUUGACUUUGGGAUAACUUCAGGAAACUGGGGCUAAUACCGGAUAGGAGCUCCUGCUGCAUGGUGGGGGUUGGAAAGUUUCGGCGGUUGGGGAUGGACUCGCGGCUUAUCAGCUUGUUGGUGGGGUAGUGGCUUACCAAGGCUUUGACGGGUAGCCGGCCUGAGAGGGUGACCGGCCACAUUGGGACUGAGAGACGGCCCAGACUCGUACGGGAGGCAGCAGGGGGGAAUAUUGCACAAUGGGCGGACGCCUGAUGCAGCAACGCCGCGUGCGGGAUGACGGCCUUCGGGUUGUAAACCGCUUUCGCCUGUGACGAAGCGUGAGUGACGGUAAUGGGUAAAGAAGCCCCGGCUAACUACGUG